This 502-nucleotide ribosomal RNA is filed under the name uncultured bacterium. RNAcentral describes it as "partial 16S ribosomal RNA". It matches the Rfam family "Bacterial small subunit ribosomal RNA", at positions 28 to 507 of the family's 1533-position model. The record is from RNAcentral.
GACGAACGCUGGCGGCGUGCCUAAUACAUGCAAGUCGAACGAACCGCGACUAGGUGCUUGCACUUGGUCAAGGUGAGUGGCGAACGGGUGAGUAACACGUGGGUAACCUACCUCAUAGUGGGGGAUAACAGUCGGAAACGACUGCUAAUACCGCAUAGGACAUAGGAUCACAUGAUUCUGUGAGGAAAGGUGGCGCAAGCUAUCGCUAAGAGAUGGACCCGCGGUGCAUUAGCUAGUUGGUAGGGUAAAGGCCUACCAAGGCGAUGAUGCAUAGCCGACCUGAGAGGGUGAUCGGCCACAUUGGGACUGAGACACGGCCCAAACUCCUACGGGAGGCAGCAGUAGGGAAUCUUCCGCAAUGGACGCAAGUCUGACGGAGCAACGCGGCGUGAGUGAAGAAGGUCUUCGGAUCGUAAAGCUCUGUUGUUAGAGAAGAACAGCGCAUAGAGUAACUGUUAUGCGUGUGACGGUAUCUAACCAGAAAGCCACGGCUAACUACGUG